RNAcentral lists this unclassified non-coding RNA (19 nucleotides) under Mus musculus (house mouse). RNAcentral describes it as "oocyte_clustered_small_RNA7220". Lineage: Eukaryota; Metazoa; Chordata; Mammalia; Rodentia; Muridae. The record is from RNAcentral.
UAGGUGUCCUGGGGAAGGG